Podarcis raffonei (Aeolian wall lizard) is the source of this 2000-nucleotide long non-coding RNA. RefSeq lists it as uncharacterized. The record is from RefSeq and is a predicted model, not a curated record. The transcript has 3 exons. NCBI's taxonomy places the organism in Eukaryota, Metazoa, Chordata, Lepidosauria, Squamata, Lacertidae.
AUCAGCACUUUAUGCCUGAAAGGGCCCAAGACAACCAUUGCCUUCACUUUCCGCUACCCUUCAGAGUGACCCCAGCAUAUUGCCAGAGGCUCCUUGGACCUUUCAAGCCCACCAGGAUGAGGCAAGAAGCCAAGAGGAUUCCUCCCAGCCUUAUAUAAUGGACGUCUUGAACCCGGCUCCUCAAACUGAGCAGCGUGUUCCUGACCAGAGCUUCAGCAACUAAUACCGAUCUGCCCUGCCAUCCCAUAGUCUCUCAGCUGUCAGCCUUCAAAAGCAAAAAGGCUUCAUACAAGAAGGUUUUCCGAUGGGGCAGAGCUUGUUUCUUGAGAACCGCGGCCAACGUUUGGUUCAGGUCUGGCUACUUACGUUCUGUGUUCUGCUUUGCUUCAGGACUGGAGAUGCUGUGAAAUGCAGAAUCUGCAAUCCAGGUGAUGUGAAGUUUUGCAGAACCCAUGAUGUGACAUGUGAGGGAUCAUAUUGUAUGAAGAUAGAAAGCUUUUCGGGUACAACUGGUGAAUUGGUUUCAGUCUUCACACACUGUGGCACUGAACGUUUGAAAGAUAAAUGUGGACAGGAAGCAAAGGUCAAGGGAGAAAUAAAGAAAUUGUCAUGCUGUAAAACUGACUUAUGUUUUGACUGAUUUUACUAUUCUGUUCUUGAAUUGCUCCUCCUUCCUGUUCUAGAUGUAAAUGUAGAUCAGAGUUGGGUGAGGAGUAACCUUUGUCCUCUCUUUUGGUAUGGAUUUUGGACUAAUACAAUAAAAUUAUCUUCAUUGACUGGUUAAUCUCAAAAAAGAUACUUCUCUAUCUCUCUCCAGUUGAAACUGGUGAAUUGGUGAAAGCCUUCAAAGAAUGUGGCCCUGAUCAUAUGAAAAGGGCAUGUGGAAUGGAACUAUCAGAUGAAACUAAAAUGAAAACGUUGUGCUGUGAAACUGACUUAUGUUUUGACUGAUUUUACUAUUCUGUUCCUAAAUUGCUCCUCCUUCCUGUUCCAGAGAAGAGGACCACCCAUUUGUGUCCACUCAUUUAUGCAUUCCUUCACUGUAACUUCUCCCCACAAAAGUGUGCAAUUGACUGCAGAAAGAGGGUGGGGUGGGAUGUUCCUUGAUGAGUUCAUAGACACCUACCAAGCGGUGCUUUACACUGUCUACUCUUACCUUCCCCACACCUGACCUCAUAUGAAGUCAGGCGUAGGGUGGAUGUGGGCUGGGGUGGGGGUCUUCUGAAAUAGCCUCUUGUGCCAAAUGGGGAAGACCAGAAUGCUUCCUUAUGCCCAGAGGCCAGAGUUCCCCUCCCUUGCUAGAACUGGGCAAACCACAGAAAAGGUUAUCAAAAAUACUAGCUUUUGUGGUAGGGAUGGUGACGAGAUUCAUUAAACAAGAGGGUGAACUUGGAUGGUCUCUGCCUGCUCGUGAGCAAAACCAUCUGCCUCAAGUCAUAGGACAGUUUUCUAUCUUGGUCUGUUCUCUGUCUGAGUCUCAUGAUUCUCUGCAAACUCUGAAUGAUCAUGAGCCCCAUUCCUAGAGAGGGAUCGUACUUUGGCAUAACAGGCAUCUGCCCUAAUUCUGGCAGGGCCCUGAUGAUUUCUCAGCUCCUAAUUACAUUCUGAGAACAUCUCGUUCCACACAGUCAGUCACGAUGGUCAGGUAAGGGGCUGGAGACACUUCCAUCUAGAUUCUCCUGGGUCCUGUCCUUUGGAUUCUCAAUUCAUCUCUUCCUGGAGCUCAUGGAACCCCUCUGUUCUUCCCAACCCCUCCUUGGUUGGAGAGCUCAAAUGUUCUCUUUUCUCUUUCCUGAACAUUUCAAUGCAACUGGAACGUAGCAAAGCUUUUAAGUAGUUUGGACUGGUGGGAGUUCUAGGUGGCCAAUCACGAUAGAGUUCGCUAAUAAUAGUUAAAACGAUUGCUAGUUUUGCAUGCAGAUAUAACAUGAGAGUAAUACCUUGCAAUAUUGUUUUCUCAGAUGCUUCAAUGCUUUCUUUCAAUAAAGUUUGCACUUGAA